Molecule: ribosomal RNA, 460 nt
Filed under: uncultured bacterium
Lineage: Bacteria
Description: partial 16S ribosomal RNA
Rfam family: Bacterial small subunit ribosomal RNA
Source: RNAcentral
CCUACGGGUGGCUGCAGUGAGGAAUAUUGGUCAAUGGCCGCAGGGCUGAACCAGCCAAGUCGCGUGAGGGAUGAAGGUUCUAUGGAUCGUAAACCUCUUUUAUAAGGGAAUAAAGUGUGGGACGUGUCCUAUUUUGUAUGUACAUUAUGAAUAAGGAUCGGCUAACUCCGUGCCAGCAGCCGCGGUAAUACGGAGGAUCCGAGCGUUAUCCGGAUUUAUUGGGUUUAAAGGGUGCGUAGGCGGCCUUUUAAGUCAGCGGGGAAAGUUUGUGGGUGAACCAUAGAAUUGCCGUUGAAACUGGGGGGCUUGAGUAUGUUUGAGGCAGGCGGAAUGCGUGGUGUAGCGGUGAAAUGCUGAGAUAUCACGCAGAACCCCGAUUGCGAAGGCAGCCUGCCAAGCCAUGACUGACGCUGAUGCACGAAAGCGUGGGGAUCAAACAGGAUUAGAUACCCGGGUAGUC